RNAcentral lists this microRNA precursor (72 nucleotides) under Microcaecilia unicolor. Its description in RNAcentral is "Mun-Let-7-P2a1_pre stem-loop". It matches the Rfam family "let-7 microRNA precursor family", at positions 7 to 78 of the family's 84-position model. Rfam says of the family: This family represents the microRNAs (miRNA) let-7 and mir-98. let-7 was identified from a study of developmental timing in C. elegans, and was later shown to be part of a much larger class of non-coding RNAs termed miRNAs. The record is from RNAcentral. Lineage: Eukaryota; Metazoa; Chordata; Amphibia; Gymnophiona; Siphonopidae.
UGAGGUAGUAGGUUGUAUAGUUUUAGGGUCAUACCCACAGCUGGGAGAUAACUAUACAGUCUACUGUCUUUC